Molecule: small nucleolar RNA, 103 nt
Filed under: Tuber melanosporum Mel28
Lineage: Eukaryota; Fungi; Ascomycota; Pezizomycetes; Pezizales; Tuberaceae
Description: small nucleolar RNA snR60/Z15/Z230/Z193/J17
Rfam family: Small nucleolar RNA snR60/Z15/Z230/Z193/J17
About the family: The members of this family belong to the C/D class of snoRNAs which contain the C (UGAUGA) and D (CUGA) box motifs.
Source: Rfam by way of RNAcentral
CCAAUCGCAAUGAUGAUUUCCCGAGUAAUGCAUAGUUCAACAGAGAUUACUAGUCCAUGUUGAGACUUUAACCAUCGUCUUUCGCUCCUAUCUGAUUGCUUUG